CGUGCUUAACACAUGCAAGUCGAACGAGGUGAUUGAAAGCUUGCUUUUGAGAACCGAGUGGCAAACGGGUGAGUAAUGCGUAGACAACCUGCCGCAAAGAUGGGGACAACAGUCCGAAAGGACUGCUAAUACCGAAUGUUGUGCAACCUCCGCAUGGAGGAUGCAUUAAAGAUGGCCUCUACUUGUAAGCUAUCGCUUUGCGAUGGGUCUGCGUCUGAUUAGCUAGUUGGUGGGGCAACGGCCUACCAAGGCGACGAUCAGUAGCCGGUCUGAGAGGAUGAACGGCCACAUUGGAACUGAGACACGGUCCAGACUCCUACGGGAGGCAGCAGUGGGGAAUCUUCCGCAAUGGGCGAAAGCCUGACGGAGCAACGCCGCGUGAGUGAAGAAGGUCUUCGGAUCGUAAAGCUCUGUUGUCGGGGACGAAUGUUGAGAUUUAGAAUAUAGAUUUCAAAUGACGGUACCUGACGAGGAAGCCACGGCUAACUACGUG
This 493-nucleotide ribosomal RNA is filed under the name uncultured bacterium. RNAcentral's name for it is "bacterial SSU rRNA". It matches the Rfam family "Bacterial small subunit ribosomal RNA", at positions 43 to 507 of the family's 1533-position model. The record is from RNAcentral.